AUUACUUUGGCAGAUAAGUGCAAUGGAUUUAGAAUUCAUUAAUGUGGUUUAGUUCUACAGGUAAUG
RNAcentral lists this transfer RNA (66 nucleotides) under Ergaula nepalensis. RNAcentral's name for it is "tRNA-Leu". It matches the Rfam family "tRNA". From Rfam's summary of the family: Transfer RNA (tRNA) molecules are approximately 80 nucleotides in length. Their secondary structure includes four short double-helical elements and three loops (D, anti-codon, and T loops). Lineage: Eukaryota; Metazoa; Arthropoda; Insecta; Blattodea; Corydiidae. The record is from RNAcentral.